RNAcentral lists this ribosomal RNA (415 nucleotides) under Novosphingobium sp. RNAcentral describes it as "bacterial SSU rRNA". It matches the Rfam family "Bacterial small subunit ribosomal RNA", at positions 350 to 782 of the family's 1533-position model. The record is from RNAcentral. Lineage: Bacteria; Pseudomonadati; Pseudomonadota; Alphaproteobacteria; Sphingomonadales; Sphingomonadaceae.
AGCAGUGGGGAAUAUUGGACAAUGGGCGCAAGCCUGAUCCAGCAAUGCCGCGUGAGUGAUGAAGGCCUUCGGGUCGUAAAGCUCUUUUACCAGGGAUGAUAAUGACAGUACCUGGAGAAUAAGCUCCGGCUAACUCCGUGCCAGCAGCCGCGGUAAUACGGAGGGAGCUAGCGUUGUUCGGAAUUACUGGGCGUAAAGCGCACGUAGGCGGUUACUCAAGUCAGAGGUGAAAGCCCGGGGCUCAACCCCGGAACUGCCUUUGAAACUAGGUGACUGGAAUCUUGGAGAGGCGAGUGGAAUUCCGAGUGUAGAGGUGAAAUUCGUAGAUAUUCGGAAGAACACCAGUGGCGAAGGCGACUCGCUGGACAAGUAUUGACGCUGAGGUGCGAAAGCGUGGGGAGCAAACAGGAUUAGA